GUGAGUCCUACAAGUCAGUUGAUUUACUUUGCUAGAGGAAGUGGCAAGAUUGAAGUUGUGGACUUCAAUGGAAAGAGUGUGUUAAACACUCAUGUUGAGGCUGGUCAUUUGCUUGUUGUGCCACAGUUCUUUGUGGUUGCUGAAAUUGCUGGUGAAGAAGGAAUGGAGAGUUAUUCCAUUGUAACAACAACAAAGUAAGUUGUUGAGAAAUGAUUUUAAUGGCAUGCAAUACCAUUAAAAGUGAUUGAUUGUGUUAUUACAAAGUAUGACAUAUCACUAAUACUAACAAAAAAUGAUUGAUUAUCCUGUUUUGCAGACCUUUGUUUGAAGAGUUGGGUGGAAAGGAAUCAAUAUGGAGCAUUUUAUCACCUACACUGCAACAAGCGGCUCUUAAUGUGGAUUCUGAUUUUCAAAAGUUUUUCACAACCAAGAUCAAGGAAUCUACCAAGCUCAUCCCACCUUCUACUUAAUUUGAUAUGUGUGAUGUAUGUGUGGUCUACUAAUG
This 505-nucleotide long non-coding RNA is filed under the name Phaseolus vulgaris (common bean). RNAcentral's name for it is "long non-coding RNA (PVUL_LNC004675)". Lineage: Eukaryota; Viridiplantae; Streptophyta; Magnoliopsida; Fabales; Fabaceae. The record is from RNAcentral.